GGUGUUUGUGUACGCAGAUGUAGCAACAAACUAUCGUCGCAAGGACCACCGCGACAAUGGCACCACUAGCUAUACUUGCAGUUUCCAGCAUCACUCGAGGCCGAGUUGCUGUAAGAGGAAAGAAAUGUGUCGGCUAGACUGACAAACGCGCCGCUUAUCCACCACGAUACGCGAAAGUCCUAGCAGGCUGCAAUAAAUAUAACACGUGGUUGCCACGCGCGCCUUGCCCCAGUGUGGCGCGGCUUGCUUCGUGUCCAUGUCGAAAAAGCUGUCGAACUCUCUCGGCUAGUGACCGCCCGCGAUAAUGGUGAUGUUGAUCGGCGGGUCGAGGACGGAUUGAAGUGCCCCAUGAACCUCUCCUUCAGGUGGAUUUUGGAUCGGAAAGUGGCACUACGAACUGUGUUACAUAACCCGGCCAAACUAAUGCGUUACCAUUAUUCUAAAGUCAGCCGCGUGCCAUGCGCUCGUUACUGAGGGGGAGAACGCCACCCCCAAACGGCAACUGCUACUAAAUUUAGUGGCUGUUAACCUUCUACCGAAUUGAAUUUGUGGUAAAACUUAAGAAUUGUUAGCUGUAGUUGCAGAAGAUCCAUCGAAAAACAAAUUUCAACAUUACAGAAUAAAUGUUACAAAAAAGAAAUUAUUGAAAUCAUGAUCAAAUUCCAUAAACUAGCAAAAAAAAAAGUAAAGAAAACAAAAGAAGUCACGACUUCUAGUUGAGGGUUAACAGCUACCUGCCAGAAGUCCAGAAGUCAGUCAGCGCAGUCGUCAUCGGAACCAGGACUGGCUGAUUGCGGGGUAAAAUGGUACACUUGAAUGGGUUCAGUCGCGAGAUGGCUAUCGCGUGGCACCACGAGAAGAUGGAGAGCUGAGUGAUUGCGAAGAGUGCAGUGUUGAGAACAUGCCACCUCGUUCUAGCGUGGCUUGUAACAAGUGGGUCCAGCCAGAAGUGCAUUAACAUUUUCGAUUUUUUUCUUUCUAUUUUGUGUGGUGUACUAAUGAGACGGCUGGUUAGCAUAAUAGCUAGUCAGGUGAGGUGGGGUGUAAGAAUUGGGCGGGAAAUGGAAAAAUAAAGUUUUACGAACAUGAAAUGGUAAAUGGUGAAGGAGAGGGCAUGCAAUUUCAGGACUUUGCAUGAUACUAGCAAAAAAAAAGUUAUAUUCACUUAAGUGUCUGCAUACUGAAGUAAGGUAAAAUUGAUUAUAGCUGCUUCAGAGUAACUCACUUUGUCAAUUUGGCGCUCUAAUGAUAGGUUAUUUGUGUAUGAAAGCCGGCAAUCGAUGGGAACGAGACAACUGUUGUCAGCCAAUUAAC
Culex pipiens pallens (northern house mosquito) is the source of this 1314-nucleotide long non-coding RNA. RefSeq lists it as uncharacterized. The record is from RefSeq and is a predicted model, not a curated record. The transcript is spliced from 3 exons. NCBI's taxonomy places the organism in Eukaryota, Metazoa, Arthropoda, Insecta, Diptera, Culicidae.